This 305-nucleotide unclassified non-coding RNA is filed under the name plant metagenome. RNAcentral describes it as "partial contains 5.8S ribosomal RNA, internal transcribed spacer 2, and large subunit ribosomal RNA". The stretch from base 1 to 105 matches the Rfam family "5.8S ribosomal RNA", at positions 50 to 154 of the family's 154-position model. The record is from RNAcentral.
GAAAUGCGAUAAGUAGUGUGAAUUGCAGAAUUUAGUGAAUCAUCGAAUCUUUGAACGCACAUUGCGCCCUUUGGUAUUCCUUAGGGCAUGCCUGUUCGAGCGUCAUCUAAACCUUCAAGCCCUGCUUGGUGUUGGGUGCCUGUCCCGCCUCCGCGCGCGGACUCACCUCAAAUCCAUUGGCGGCCCCCGCGUCGGCCACGAGCGCAGCAGAAACGCGAACUCGUGAGCCCGUCCGGGCGGCUCCCAGAAGCUACACCCACCCAGUUUGACCUCGGAUCAGGUAGGGAUACCCGCUGAACUUAAGC